This 499-nucleotide ribosomal RNA is filed under the name uncultured bacterium. RNAcentral describes it as "bacterial SSU rRNA". It matches the Rfam family "Bacterial small subunit ribosomal RNA", at positions 28 to 507 of the family's 1533-position model. The record is from RNAcentral.
GACGAACGCUGGCGGCGUGCCUAAUACAUGCAAGUCGAGCGGAAUGAUGAAGAAGCUUGCUUCUUCUGAUUUUAGCGGCGGACGGGUGAGUAACACGUGGGCAACCUACCUUGUAGAUUGGGAUAACUCCGGGAAACCGGGCUAAUACCGAAUAAUCCAUUUUGCUUCAUGGCGAGAUGUUGAAAGACGGUUUCGGCUGUCACUACAAGAUGGGCCCGCGGCGCAUUAGCUAGUUGGUAGGGUAAUGGCCUACCAAGGCGACGAUGCGUAGCCGACCUGAGAGGGUGAUCGGCCACACUGGGACUGAGACACGGCCCAGACUCCUACGGGAGGCAGCAGUAGGGAAUCUUCCACAAUGGACGAAAGUCUGAUGGAGCAACGCCGCGUGAGUGAAGAAGGUUUUCGGAUCGUAAAACUCUGUUGUAAGGGAAGAACACGUACGAGAGUAACUGCUCGUACCUUGACGGUACCUUAUUAGAAAGCCACGGCUAACUACGUG